RNAcentral lists this ribosomal RNA (253 nucleotides) under uncultured bacterium. RNAcentral describes it as "partial 16S ribosomal RNA". It matches the Rfam family "Bacterial small subunit ribosomal RNA", at positions 524 to 776 of the family's 1533-position model. The record is from RNAcentral.
UACAGAGGGGGCAAGCGUUGUUCGGAAUUACUGGGCGUAAAGGGCGCGUAGGCGGCCUGUUAAGUCGAACGUGAAAUCCCCGGGCUCAACCCGGGAACUGCGUCCGAUACUGGCAGGCUUGAAUCCGGGAGAGGGAUGUGGAAUUCCAGGUGUAGCGGUGAAAUGCGUAGAUAUCUGGAGGAACACCGGUGGCGAAGGCGGCGUUCUGGACUGUUUCUGACACUGAGGAACGAAAGCCAGGGGAGCAAACGGG